RNAcentral lists this microRNA precursor (72 nucleotides) under Schmidtea mediterranea. RNAcentral describes it as "microRNA sme-mir-2203 precursor". The record is from miRBase by way of RNAcentral. Lineage: Eukaryota; Metazoa; Platyhelminthes; Tricladida; Dugesiidae.
AAAAAUUUACGAAGGCUUAAUGAUUAUCAUUUACAAACCAAAUUAAAUUAAUCAAGAUCGUUAGUAAGUUUU